GGGAGGGGGGAACGGGCUUCGACU
RNAcentral lists this microRNA (24 nucleotides) under Blattella germanica (German cockroach). Its description in RNAcentral is "Bge-Mir-14_5p* (star (passenger))". Lineage: Eukaryota; Metazoa; Arthropoda; Insecta; Blattodea; Blattellidae. The record is from RNAcentral.